Non-coding RNA from Coffea arabica (coffee), 1047 nucleotides. NCBI's taxonomy places the organism in Eukaryota, Viridiplantae, Streptophyta, Magnoliopsida, Gentianales, Rubiaceae. The record is from RefSeq and is a predicted model, not a curated record.
UUCAAGUUAGUGAUCACAUUAACAUAUAGUUUUAGUGUUGAAAAAAACACAUGCUCAAGCAAGUCUCAGGGUGAUUAAAAUUGUUUGUAAGGAUAAGGUUCCUCUGUGACGAGAACUAACAGAUGUAAACAGGGAUCAUGGCAUUAGGUAUUAGGCCUAUAUAUGGCCUUGUAUUUUUAUUCAAGCCUUGUCCCCUCUCAAGAUUAUUCUUCCUCUAUUUCUUGAAGAGAUUGCUUAAUUAGAUGCAAAGUUGAAGAACAGGGAAAAGGGAGACUCGCAAAAGAAACUGCCUAGUCACAAUAUGAACCAGAAUGCCUCUUCUUGGCAUUUUAAGCAUCAUGCAUUUGCAUAGGGCACUUAAGAAAUCGUGGGGCUGGGCUGACUUGCACAAGAAAGAGCUUAGAUGUCGCAAAGGGUCACUUCGUGCGUAUGUAGGCCAAGAAUGCAAGACGAGACAUGGAGUGAAUUUGAGCUUGCUGAAGCAUCCUCUUUUCAUGGCAUUGCUUGCAGAAGAGGUUUUUGGUUUCCCACUCGUACUCUCUAACUUCCUUUACCGUGCAAUGAGGACGUUUUUCUUCACACACUAAUGCAAUGCACUAUCUCAGAAAAAGGGAAUUCUUGUUCAUGCAUCGAUCCCUAGGUUUAUUUCAGAAGUAUUCAUAUGCAGAUCUUCAAGAAGGGGUAAGAGGAGCCAGUUGGCUAAUGAUACCGUGAUGUGGUAUUCAUAUUGAAUCUUGAACAACACUUUUAACAUCGUUUUAGCUUGAUAUCUAGAUUGCAUUUUCACUGCGCAGCCAAGUAAAAUAUGGUGAGGACGUGUUUUGGACUCUGCCAAAUUUUUCUAACCAACUGUCGUGAACCAAUUGUGAUAUCGAUCUUGUCCAACGACUGUUGUAUUUGGAAAGCAGCCGUCAAUAUGACGAUGGUCUUUUAUGUUGAUGUCAAACGCUCAAUUCCACGUUUAUAGACGCCUUCAGGCUAGUUGAGAUUUUGUUUGGCAAUACAAGGAAAAUGAGAAUCAUCAGGUCUGGAGAUUUCCUGUAUUUC